AUUGAACGCUGGCGGCAUGCCUUACACAUGCAAGUCGAACGGUAACGGGCCUUCGGGUGCCGACGAGUGGCGAACGGGUGAGUAAUACAUCGGAACGUGCCCGAUCGUGGGGGAUAACGAGGCGAAAGCUUUGCUAAUACCGCAUACGAUCUACGGAUGAAAGCAGGGGACCGCAAGGCCUUGCGCGGACGGAGCGGCCGAUGGCAGAUUAGGUAGUUGGUGGGAUAAAAGCUUACCAAGCCGACGAUCUGUAGCUGGUCUAAGAGGAUGAUCAGCCACACUGGGACUGAGACACGGCCCAGACUCCUACGGGAGGCAGCAGUGGGGAAUUUUGGACAAUGGGCGCAAGCCUGAUCCAGCCAUGCCGCGUGCAGGAUGAAGGCCUUCGGGUUGUAAACUGCUUUUGUACGGAACGAAAAGCCUUCUUUUAAUACAGGAGGGUCAUGACGGUACCGUAAGAAUAAGCACCGGCUAACUACGUG
Molecule: ribosomal RNA, 482 nt
Filed under: uncultured bacterium
Lineage: Bacteria
Description: partial 16S ribosomal RNA
Rfam family: Bacterial small subunit ribosomal RNA
Source: RNAcentral